RNAcentral lists this ribosomal RNA (379 nucleotides) under Pseudarthrobacter sp. AG30. RNAcentral's name for it is "SSU rRNA". It matches the Rfam family "Eukaryotic small subunit ribosomal RNA", at positions 1276 to 1671 of the family's 1831-position model. Lineage: Bacteria; Bacillati; Actinomycetota; Actinomycetes; Micrococcales; Micrococcaceae. The record is from RNAcentral.
GGUGGUGCAUGGCCGUUCUUAGUUGGUGGAGCGAUUUGUCUGGUUAAUUCCGAUAACGAACGAGACUCUGGCAUGCUAACUAGUUACGCGACCCCCGAGCGGUCGGCGUCCCCCAACUUCUUAGAGGGACAAGUGGCGUUCAGCCACCCGAGAUUGAGCAAUAACAGGUCUGUGAUGCCCUUAGAUGUCCGGGGCUGCACGCGCGCUACACUGACUGGCUCAGCGUGUGCCUACCCUACGCCGGCAGGCGCGGGUAACCCGUUGAACCCCAUUCGUGAUGGGGAUCGGGGAUUGCAAUUAUUCCCCAUGAACGAGGAAUUCCCAGUAAGUGCGGGUCAUAAGCUUGCGUUGAUUAAGUCCCUGCCCUUUGUACACACCG